AUUGAACGCUGGCGGAAUGCUUUACACAUGCAAGUCGAACGAUGAACCUUAGCUUGCUAGGGGGAUUAGUGGCGAACGGGUGAGUAACAUGUCGGAACGUACCUAGUAAUGGGGGAUAACUAGUCGAAAGAUUAGCUAAUACCGCAUACGCCCUGAGGGGGAAAGUAGGGGAUCUUCGGACCUUACGUUAUUAGAGCGGCCGAUAUCUGAUUAGCUAGUUGGUGGGGUAAAGGCCUACCAAGGCGACGAUCAGUAGCUGGUCUGAGAGGACGAGCAGCCACACUGUAACUGAGACACGGUCCAGACUCCUACGGGAGGCAGCAGUGGGGAAUUUUGGACAAUGGGGGCAACCCUGAUCCAGCCAUUCCGCGAGAGUGAAGAAGGCCUUCGGGUUGUAAAGCGCUUUCGCAAGGGAAGAAAACUUACAUUCUAAUAAAAUGUGAGGCUGACGGUACCUUGAUAAGAAGCACCGGCUAACUACGUGCCAGCCGCCGCAGUAA
RNAcentral lists this ribosomal RNA (500 nucleotides) under uncultured bacterium. Its description in RNAcentral is "partial 16S ribosomal RNA". It matches the Rfam family "Bacterial small subunit ribosomal RNA", at positions 30 to 523 of the family's 1533-position model. The record is from RNAcentral.